Molecule: long non-coding RNA, 818 nt
Filed under: Pan troglodytes (chimpanzee)
Lineage: Eukaryota; Metazoa; Chordata; Mammalia; Primates; Hominidae
Description: long non-coding RNA NONPTRT000348
Source: RNAcentral
UUUACUUUUUGAGACCAUGUUAUUGGGUAUAAAUGUAAAAUUGUUAUGUCUUCCUGGUAAAUUGAAACUCAUAUCACUAUGGAGCAACCUUUCUAUUUGCUUUUUUUCUUUACAGUCUACUUUGCUGACAUUAACAUUCUUGUAUUAAUGUGGUCAAGGACAAUCUGUCUAGAUUGAUAAUCUUUGUCCUUUAUAUGGAGAAUUUAAUCUAUUCGCAUUUCAUGUCACAAUUGGUAUACAGUAUUUGGGUUUAAAUCUAAAUUACAGAGAUAACUGGAGACUUAGGAUGAUGUUAUCUUCCUCUAGAAUAGAUUUAUAUUUGCUUCUGACAUGAUUUGUAGCAGUUCCAUGUCACUGUAAUGUAAUCAGAGAUUAAGAUGAUUUUUGAAAAAUAAUGUGAAAAGUUUACAUGGAUUUCUUCACUUAAGAAAUUUGGAUUUUUAAGAUAUUUUAUCCAAGAAAUACAAAUUUUUGUGUAGAGGACACAGAGGCACAUCAUAAAGAGGAAGGUUGAGAUUGUGGGUUUAGAAGACCAAACUACCUUACUCCCACCUAAUCAGUGAAGUCAGGGAAAAAAUAUCAAAGCUAGACCCAUUUAAAUACUGAUUUGCGGUAAAUGUGUCACAGCAGUUUCAGAUGCAAAUAAGAUGUUAUUACAAAGUUUUAAGGGUCUGUUAACUCACUCUGCAUGCGUAUCCUUAGAACCAUUUCACACUCAGCAACAUGAGUUUUUGUUCAACUCAACGUUGCACUUUAGCUUUAAACUUCCCGUGGUGGAAAUUAUUGUUCUUGUAAUUAGCCCAGUCAUAAAUGACAUU